UCUGUUGGUUAGCGGCGGACGGGUGAGUAACACGUGGGCAACCUGCCUGUAAGACUGGGAUAACUUCGGGAAACCGGAGCUAAUACCGGAUAAUUCAUCCCCUCGCAUGAGGGGAUGCUGAAAGUCGGUUCACGCUGACACUUACAGAUGGGCCCGCGGCGCAUUAGCUAGUUGGUGAGGUAAUGGCUCACCAAGGCGACGAUGCGUAGCCGACCUGAGAGG
Molecule: ribosomal RNA, 222 nt
Filed under: Neobacillus sp.
Lineage: Bacteria; Bacillati; Bacillota; Bacilli; Caryophanales; Bacillaceae
Description: partial 16S ribosomal RNA
Rfam family: Bacterial small subunit ribosomal RNA
Source: RNAcentral